AACACCCUGCCUUGUUCGAUAAAUACGGCAUAUAAUGAUCCAACACUUUUAAAUUGGGAGCCUAAACUCCUAAGGCGGGCUGCAGACCUCCCGGCUUUGCCGGACGAAGGGAGCACGAAACUAUAGGGCGGCACCCACCUGCUAUUUGCAGGUUCUUAUCUGUCGUAUCCGGCUUGGCGGGGCACUU
RNAcentral lists this non-coding RNA (187 nucleotides) under Clostridiales bacterium. RNAcentral's name for it is "6S RNA". It matches the Rfam family "6S / SsrS RNA". Rfam says of the family: E. coli 6S RNA was the first non coding RNA to be sequenced, but its function was unknown until recently. It consists of 184 nucleotides that fold into an extended hairpin structure with a large single-stranded internal bulge. The 6S RNA specifically associates with RNA polymerase holoenzyme containing the sigma70 specificity factor. Lineage: Bacteria; Bacillati; Bacillota; Clostridia; Eubacteriales. The record is from RNAcentral.